GAUGAACGCUGGCGGCGUGCCUAAUACAUGCAAGUCGAGCGAACGGACGAGAAGCUUGCGUCUCUGAGGUUAGCGGCGGACGGGUGAGUAACACGUGGAUAACCUACUUAUAAGACUGGGAUAACUUCGGGAAACCGUAGCUAAUACCGGAGAAUACUUUGAACCGCAUGGUUCAAAAGUGAAAGACGGUCUUGCUGUCACUUAUAGAUGGAUCCGCGCUGCAUUAGCUAGUUGGUAAGGUAACGGCUUACCAAGGCAACGAUGCAUAGCCGACCUGAGAGGGUGAUCGGCCACACUGGAACUGAGACACGGUCCAGACUCCUACGGGAGGCAGCAGUAGGGAAUCUUCCGCAAUGGGCGAAAGCCUGACGGAGCAACGCCGCGUGAGUGAUGAAGGUCUUCGGAUCGUAAAACUCUGUUAUUAGGGAAGAACAUGUGUGUAAGUAACUGUGCACAUCUUGACGGUACCUAAUCAGAAAGCCACGGCUAACUACGUG
This 497-nucleotide ribosomal RNA is filed under the name uncultured bacterium. Its description in RNAcentral is "partial 16S ribosomal RNA". It matches the Rfam family "Bacterial small subunit ribosomal RNA", at positions 28 to 507 of the family's 1533-position model. The record is from RNAcentral.